UCUGUGAAAUUCCGGGGCUUAANUCCGGGCGUGCAGGCGAUACGGGCACGACUAGAGUGCUGUAGGGGUAACUGGAAUUCCUGGUGUAGCGGUGAAAUGCGCAGAUNUCAGGAGGAACACCGAUGGCGAAGGCAGGUUACUGGGCAGUUACUGACGCUGAGGAGCGAAAGCAUGGGGAGCGAACAGGAUUAGAUACCCUGGUAGUCCAUGCUGUAAACGGUGGGCGCUAGGUGUGGGCUGUGUGUUUGCAGUCUGUGCCGUAGCUAACGCAUUAAGCGCCCCGCCUGGGGAGUACGGCCGCAAGGCUAAAACUCAAAGGAAUUGACGGGGGCCCGCACAAGCGGCGGAGCAUGUGGAUUAAUUCGAUGCAACGCGAAGAACCUUACCUGGGUUUGACAUGCACCAGAUCGGCGUAGAGAUACGUUUUCCCUUGUGGUUGGUGCACAGGUGGUGCAUGGUUGUCGUCAGCUCGUGUCGUGAGAUGUUGGGUUAAGUCCCGCAACGAGCGCAACCCUUGUCUUAUGUUGCCAGCACAUUUUUUGGUGGGGACUCAUGAGAAACUGCCGGGGUCAACUCGGAGGAAGGUGGGGAUGACGUCAAAUCAUCAUGCCCUUUAUACCCAGGGCUUCACACAUGCUACAAUGGUCGGUACAACGGGUUGCGACACUGUGAAGUGAAGCUAAUCUCUGAAAGCCGGCCUCAGUUCGGAUUGGGGUCUGCAACUCGACCCCAUGAAGUCGGAGUCGCUAGUAAUCGCAGAUCAGCAACGCUGCGGUGAAUACGUUCCCGGGCCUUGUACACACCGCCCGUCACGUCAUGAAAGUUGGUAACACCCGAAGCCCAUGGCCUAACCACCACUUGUGGUGGGGGGAGUGGUCGAAGGUGGGA
RNAcentral lists this ribosomal RNA (888 nucleotides) under uncultured bacterium. RNAcentral's name for it is "bacterial SSU rRNA". It matches the Rfam family "Bacterial small subunit ribosomal RNA", at positions 591 to 1467 of the family's 1533-position model. The record is from RNAcentral.